UACGGAGGGUGCAAGCGUUAUCCGGAUUCACUGGGUUUAAAGGGUGCGUAGGUGGGCUUGAAAGUCAGUGGUGAAAUCUCCGGGCUUAACCUGGAAACUGCCAUUGAUACUCUGAGUCUUGAAUUUUCUGGAGGUAAGCGGAAUAUGUCAUGUAGCGGUGAAAUGCUUAGAUAUGACAUAGAGCACCAAUUGCGAAGGCAGCUUACUACGGGACAAUUGACACUGAGGCACGAAAGCGUGGGGAUCAAACAGG
RNAcentral lists this ribosomal RNA (253 nucleotides) under uncultured bacterium. RNAcentral's name for it is "partial 16S ribosomal RNA". It matches the Rfam family "Bacterial small subunit ribosomal RNA", at positions 524 to 776 of the family's 1533-position model. The record is from RNAcentral.